Dioscorea cayenensis subsp. rotundata (Guinea yam) is the source of this 238-nucleotide long non-coding RNA. RefSeq lists it as uncharacterized. The record is from RefSeq and is a predicted model, not a curated record. The transcript has 3 exons. Lineage: Eukaryota; Viridiplantae; Streptophyta; Magnoliopsida; Dioscoreales; Dioscoreaceae.
UUCUCUUUCAUGGAAGCACUGCGCCUUCCUUGGCUUCCUUCAUCGUUGGCUGAACAAAAUCCUUCCUUUUCCAAUCACUUUGAGAAGCCAAUGGAACCAGAGCAGUUGAGGGAGUUUGGUCAUUAAAUGGUUGAUUUCAUUGUGGAUUACUACAAAACCAUUAAAUCUUUCUCUGCUCAUAGCCAAGUUAAGCUUGGGUAUCUAAGUGAACCGCUGCCUGUUUGAGCCUCUAAACAUC